UGGGGAAUAUUGCACAAUGGGCGCAAGCCUGAUGCAGCCAUGCCGCGUGUGUGAAGAAGGCCUUCGGGUUGUAAAGCACUUUCAGCGGGGAGGAAGGCGUUAAGGUUAAUAACCUUGGCGAUUGACGUUACCCGCAGAAGAAGCACCGGCUAACUCCGUGCCAGCAGCCGCGGUAAUACGGAGGGUGCAAGCGUUAAUCGGAAUUACUGGGCGUAAAGCGCAUGCAGGCGGUUGAUUGAGUCAGAUGUGAAAUCCCCGGGCUUAACCCGGGAAUUGCAUCUGAUACUGGUCAGCUAGAGUCUUGUAGAGGGGGGUAGAAUUCCAUGUGUAGCGGUGAAAUGCGUAGAGAUGUGGAGGAAUACCGGUGGCGAAGGCGGCCCCCUGGACAAAGACUGACGCUCAGGUGCGAAAGCGUGGGGAGCAAACAGG
This 429-nucleotide ribosomal RNA is filed under the name Chloroflexota bacterium. RNAcentral's name for it is "Chloroflexi bacterium partial 16S ribosomal RNA". It matches the Rfam family "Bacterial small subunit ribosomal RNA", at positions 355 to 776 of the family's 1533-position model. The record is from RNAcentral. Lineage: Bacteria; Bacillati; Chloroflexota.